CUGAUAUGGAUAAUGCCUUUCUUGUUCUAAUCUGUGUGUUCCUACGUUUUUUUCUUCAGCAAUUUUCUCUCUUAGAUUUUUUUUUUUUCCUCGAACUAUUUCGCCAUUAACCAGUAGAACAUACAUAUGUGGAUCUUUUGGAGUAUAACAUUCUGUAAGAUCUAGCAUUUUUGUUGAUUACAACUGAAUUUUAAUUUGGCAGGCUUUUAAUCUGGGAAGAAUGUUUUUAUGAUCCUGUAUCACAACCCCAUCUUCUUUGCAUUUCCAAGAUUGAAGAUCCGGGAAUUGGUUUUGAAGGCCAUAAUGAUUGUGGGUUUACAGCUGGGGACCAAGCAGGGGAUAAAUUGCAUUUUCUUAUAAAUAAGAUGAUGAUGGAC
This 377-nucleotide long non-coding RNA is filed under the name Olea europaea subsp. europaea. Lineage: Eukaryota; Viridiplantae; Streptophyta; Magnoliopsida; Lamiales; Oleaceae. The record is from RNAcentral.